This is a small nuclear RNA of Chlorocebus sabaeus (green monkey), 82 nucleotides long. The record is from Rfam. Lineage: Eukaryota; Metazoa; Chordata; Mammalia; Primates; Cercopithecidae.
AAAAAAAAAAAUUGGAACGAUACAAAGAAGAUUAGCAUGGGCCCUGCGAAAAAAGAUAACAUGCAAAUUUGUGACAUUUUCU